Molecule: long non-coding RNA, 489 nt
Organism: Zingiber officinale
Lineage: Eukaryota; Viridiplantae; Streptophyta; Magnoliopsida; Zingiberales; Zingiberaceae
Exons: 2
Source: RefSeq, a predicted model, not a curated record
UAAGUUGAUGAUUACCCGUGACCUAAGUUCUUUCCUCCCCUUUCUCUCGGCGACGGUGUUUUCUUCUCGGGCGAAAUCGCAGCCGCCGCCAGGAUUCCUUCCUCCGGUGGCCGGCGAAGGUUCCCUUCCGGCGGAUCUUCACCAAUUGAGACCACCUCGGUAGGAGGGACCGUAGGCACGAGGAAGCGGCCGGGAAACUCAAGCUUCGCCGCAAACCCUAGAUCUCUCUCCUUCGGUUGUAAGUCCAAGAAAAUGAAGGUACAGGAAAAGAAAAGUGUUAGCAAAGGAAGGCGACAAGGAGGUGCGGAUGGAUGUGUGAUGCCAGGACUAUGGAGAGACCUGGGAUGUUUUGAGUUUUCACGUUUAGUGGAUAGAAAUAGUUGAGUUGUACCUUAUGGUUUAUGUCUUUUUAGAUUGUAUUUUCAUUUCCGCGUUGUUAGUUUGGUUAUUUUCCACUGUUCGAGUUUUAUUCAUUUGUGAUUGCUAGAA